This is a small nuclear RNA of Vespula pensylvanica (western yellowjacket), 119 nucleotides long. RefSeq annotates it as U4atac minor spliceosomal RNA. NCBI's taxonomy places the organism in Eukaryota, Metazoa, Arthropoda, Insecta, Hymenoptera, Vespidae. The record is from RefSeq and is a predicted model, not a curated record. The transcript has a single exon.
GUUGUCCUUGUCUUUGGGGAGCAAAGUAUUCAAUGAUCGUCUAGUGAGGGUACUGUUGCUAUAACCCAUUAAACAAUAUCCUGCAUCCACGAUAAACGUGAGAUGCAAUUUUUGAAAGC